This 452-nucleotide ribosomal RNA is filed under the name uncultured bacterium. Its description in RNAcentral is "bacterial SSU rRNA". It matches the Rfam family "Bacterial small subunit ribosomal RNA", at positions 29 to 524 of the family's 1533-position model. The record is from RNAcentral.
AGCGAACGCUGGCGGCAGGCUUAAUACAUGCAAGUCGAGCGCCUGUAGCAAUACAGGAGCGGCAGACGGGAGAGUAACACGUGGGAACGUGCCCUUUGGUUCGGAACAACACAGGGAAACUUGUGCUAAUACCGGAUAAGCCCUUACGGGGAAAGAUUUAUCGCCAAAGGAUCGGCCCGCGUCUGAUUAGCUUGUUGGUGAGGUAACGGCUCACCAAGGCGACGAUCAGAGCUGGUCUGAGAGGAUGAUCAGCCUCAUUGGGACUGAGACACGGCCCAAACUCCUACGGGAGGCAGCAGUAGGGAAUAUUGGACAAUGGGCGCAAGCCUGAUCCAGCCAUGCCGCGUGAGUGAUGAAGGCCUUUAGGGUUGUAAAGCUCUUUCGGCGGGGAAGAUAAUGACGGUACCCGCAUAAGAAGCCCCGGCUAACUUCGUGCCAGCAGCCGCAGUAAC